Molecule: long non-coding RNA, 860 nt
Organism: Acanthopagrus latus (yellowfin seabream)
Lineage: Eukaryota; Metazoa; Chordata; Actinopteri; Spariformes; Sparidae
Exons: 2
Source: RefSeq, a predicted model, not a curated record
UCUUUGUCCCACCUGGCCAACCUUUCUCCUGUUUGAGAAAGGUUGGCCUCCUGUUUGUGUCCCUCUGCUCUGACUAACAGGAAAAACGAUUCAACUUGCUGCAACAAAACACCUCGUAACUUCCUAAAAGAUUCCGUCCACACCAUCAGAUCUGUACACUCGGUCAGCAGGGAGCAAAAUGACCCUCAUCACACAGGACUCUUAAUACAGGUCAGUGUUACGACAGGACGAGCAGCCACGUUGUCCUCCGCUACAGCGGCUUCCUUCAGUUAUUCCAGUGGGAUCUCCUCACAGAACAGAUGGGAGAUGUUCUCCCGGCAGCCGGUCCUGGAUCGGGCCCCCCGGGGGUCUCCUCCCUGUAGGGUCGAGACCCGGACAUGUCCAGAGGGAGGACCUACCAGCUGGCUUCUCACAGGAUGUAAAACACUGUGAAAGUCAUGUAUGCAGACAUCAGGAUCACAUCGUCUCACAGUCCGGAUCACUCGCUCGUGUCAUGAUUCCCAUCAGAUCUCCUGCUUGAGUUAAUGCUGAUUUAAGAUUUGUUAUCUUCUGGAUGAUAUUUGUCCUGUUUGUUCUGCCCUGAAGUCUUUUCCAUGUCAAUCUGUAGAAGACAACAAACGUUUGAUGGUCCAUGUCGUCUAGCGGCUUUGGGAAAAGAUGGAUUCCUUUCACGCCUCGGCCUCAGUGAAAAAACAUAUCAGUACAUCACAGUGCUUCAUCUCUUCAUCAAUGAAAUGUGUCGGGAAAAUGUCAGAUUUUAAUUGUCGGAGUGUCUAAACAUCUGUGUGUGUCACAUGUGAUGAACGCCUCGACGCUGCAGAGUUAUUAAUGUACAAAUCUGCAGCUCAUAAUCCUCAAUA